UACGAAGGGGGCUAGCGUUGCUCGGAAUUACUGGGCGUAAAGCGCACGUAGGCGGCUUUCUAAGUCAGGGGUGAAAGCCUGAGGCUCAACCUCAGAACUGCCUUUGAUACUGAGAGUCUCGAGACCGGAAGAGGUGAGUGGAACUGCGAGUGUAGAGGUGAAAUUCGUAGAUAUUCGCAAGAACACCAGUGGCGAAGGCGGCUCACUGGCCCGGUACUGACGCUGAGGUGCGAAAGCGUGGGGAGCAAACAGG
This 253-nucleotide ribosomal RNA is filed under the name uncultured bacterium. RNAcentral describes it as "partial 16S ribosomal RNA". It matches the Rfam family "Bacterial small subunit ribosomal RNA", at positions 524 to 776 of the family's 1533-position model. The record is from RNAcentral.